CUGCAACUCGCCUGCAUGAAGUCGGAAUUGCUAGUAAUCGCGGAUCAGCAUGCCGCGGUGAAUACGUUCCCGGGCCUUGUACACACCGCCCGUCACACCAUGGGAGCCGGUAAUACCCGAAGUCAGUAGUCCAACCUCGUGAGGACGCUGCCGAAGGUAGGAUUGGCGACUGGGGUGAAGUCGUAACAAGGUAUC
This 195-nucleotide ribosomal RNA is filed under the name uncultured bacterium. RNAcentral describes it as "partial 16S ribosomal RNA". It matches the Rfam family "Bacterial small subunit ribosomal RNA", at positions 1305 to 1500 of the family's 1533-position model. The record is from RNAcentral.